RNAcentral lists this ribosomal RNA (641 nucleotides) under Blastococcus sp. I12A-02649. Its description in RNAcentral is "bacterial SSU rRNA". It matches the Rfam family "Bacterial small subunit ribosomal RNA", at positions 96 to 750 of the family's 1533-position model. The record is from RNAcentral. Lineage: Bacteria; Bacillati; Actinomycetota; Actinomycetes; Geodermatophilales; Geodermatophilaceae.
UGGCGAACGGGUGAGUAACACGUGGGCAACCUGCCCCUGGCUCUGGGAUAACUCCAAGAAAUUGGGGCUAAUACCGGAUAUGACCGCUGACCGCAUGGUCUGGUGGUGGAAAGAUUUAUCGGCUGGGGAUGGGCCCGCGGCCUAUCAGCUUGUUGGUGGGGUAGUGGCCUACCAAGGCGACGACGGGUAGCCGGCCUGAGAGGGUGACCGGCCACACUGGGACUGAGACACGGCCCAGACUCCUACGGGAGGCAGCAGUGGGGAAUAUUGCGCAAUGGGCGAAAGCCUGACGCAGCGACGCCGCGUGGGGGAUGACGGCCUUCGGGUUGUAAACCUCUUUCAGCAGGGACGAAGCGAAAGUGACGGUACCUGCAGAAGAAGCACCGGCCAACUACGUGCCAGCAGCCGCGGUAAUACGUAGGGUGCAAGCGUUGUCCGGAAUUAUUGGGCGUAAAGAGCUCGUAGGCGGUUCGUCGCGUCGGCUGUGAAAACCUGAGGCUCAACCUCAGGCCUGCAGUCGAUACGGGCGGACUUGAGUACUGCAGGGGAGACUGGAAUUCCUGGUGUAGCGGUGAAAUGCGCAGAUAUCAGGAGGAACACCGGUGGCGAAGGCGGGUCUCUGGGCAGUAACUGACGCUGAG